GUUUUGUGCAAUUUGCUAACAGGUACUCUCCUUUAUUCCCAUGUCAGAUUAAAAUUUUGCAUUAAUUAAUUUCCAUUUGUCAGAAAUGUACUGUUUCAAAACAUCUUGUUAAUAAUGAUAAAGACAAUUUUAAAGGAGUUGGUUAUAUUUAGAUAUAAUGUUGCAAAUCUAUAUUUUAAAGUGUUAAGGAUGGUAGAGAACAUGUUAUUGACUGGAUUUCUGUGGC
Molecule: unclassified non-coding RNA, 226 nt
Filed under: Hevea brasiliensis (rubber tree)
Lineage: Eukaryota; Viridiplantae; Streptophyta; Magnoliopsida; Malpighiales; Euphorbiaceae
Source: RNAcentral